This 443-nucleotide ribosomal RNA is filed under the name uncultured bacterium. RNAcentral describes it as "partial 16S ribosomal RNA". It matches the Rfam family "Bacterial small subunit ribosomal RNA", at positions 338 to 795 of the family's 1533-position model. The record is from RNAcentral.
CCUACGGGCGGCAGCAGUGGGGAAUAUUGGGCAAUGGGCGCAAGCCUGACCCAGCAAAGCCGCGUGCAGGAAGAAGGCUUUCGGGUUGUAAACUUCUUUUCUGAGGGACGAAGAAAGUGACGGUACCUCAGGAAUAAGCAACGGCUAACUACGUGCCAGCAGCCGCGGUAAUACGUAGGUGGCAAGCGUUAUCCGGAUUUAUUGGGGGUAAAGGGCGUGUAGGCGGGAAAGCAAGUCAGAUGUGAAAACUCAGGGCUCAACCCUGAGCUUACAGUUGAAACUGUUUUUCUUGAGUGCUGGAGAGGCAAUCGGAAUUCCGUGUGUAGCGGUGAAAUGCGUAGAUAUACGGAGGAACACCAGUGGCGAAGGCGGAUGGCUGGACAGUAACUGACGCUGAGGCGCGAAAGCGUGGGGAGCAAACAGGAUUAGAUACCCCGGUAGUC